CCCAGGAUCCACAGGUGUUCCCAUUCCCUGAUCAAGACUAAACACAGACCACUCACCAUGGGCUUUUGGCUCAGCUGGGUUUUCCUUGUGGCUAUAUUUAAAGGUGUCCAGUGUGAGGUGCAGCUGGUGGAGUCUGGGGGAGGCUUGGUGCAGCCUGGGGGGUCUCUGAGACUCUCUUGUGCAGCCUCUGGAUUCACCUUCAGUAGCUACUGGAUGAGCUGGGUUCGCCAGGCUCCAGGGGAGGGGCUGGAGUGGGUCUCAUAUAUUAAUCCUGAUGGGAGUACCACAAGCUAUGCCCAAUCUGUGAAGGGCCGGUUCACCAUCUCCAGAGACAAUGCCAAAAACACGCUGUAUCUGCAAAUGAACAGCCUGAGUGCCGAGGACAUGGCCCUGUAUUAUUGUGUGAGAGACACAGUGAGGGGAAGUCAGUGUGAGUCCAGACACAAACCUUCCUUUAGCAGAGGCUGUGACCACCAGGUGGCGCCCAGGGUUCUCUGA
Non-coding RNA from Myotis lucifugus (little brown bat), 498 nucleotides. The record is from the annotation of a RefSeq genome assembly. Lineage: Eukaryota; Metazoa; Chordata; Mammalia; Chiroptera; Vespertilionidae.